GACGAACGCUGGCGGCGUGCCUAAUACAUGCAAGUAGAACGCUGAAGGAGGAGCUUGCUCUUCUGGAUGAGUUGCGAACGGGUGAGUAACGCGUAGGUAACCUGCCUGGUAGCGGGGGAUAACUAUUGGAAACGAUAGCUAAUACCGCAUAAGAGUAGAUGUUGCAUGUCAUUUACUUAAAAGGUGCAAUUGCAUCACUACCAGAUGGACCUGCGUUGUAUUAGCUAGUUGGUGGGGUAACGGCUUACCAAGGCGACGAUACAUAGCCGACCUGAGAGGGUGAUCGGCCACACUGGGACUGAGACACGGCCCAGACUCCUACGGGAGGCAGCAGUAGGGAAUCUUCGGCAAUGGACGGAAGUCUGACCGAGCAACGCCGCGUGAGUGAAGAAGGUUUUCGGAUCGUAAAGCUCUGUUGUAAGAGAAGAACGAGUGUGAGAGUGGAAAGUUCACACUGUGACGGUAUCUUACCAGAAAGGGACGGCUAACUACGUG
RNAcentral lists this ribosomal RNA (495 nucleotides) under uncultured bacterium. Its description in RNAcentral is "partial 16S ribosomal RNA". It matches the Rfam family "Bacterial small subunit ribosomal RNA", at positions 28 to 507 of the family's 1533-position model. The record is from RNAcentral.